UAUACCGUGAAACUGCGAAUGGCUCAUUAAAUCAGUUAUCGUUUAUUUGAUAAUACCUUACUACUUGGAUAACCGUGGUAAUUCUAGAGCUAAUACAUGCUGAAAAUCCCAACUUCGGAAGGGAUGUGUUUAUUAGAUAAAAAACCAAUGCCCUUCGGGGCUUUUUGGUGAUUCAUGAUAACUUUACGGAUCGCAUAGCCUUGCGCUGGCGACGGUUCAUUCAAAUUUCUGCCCUAUCAACUUUCGAUGGUAAGGUAUUGGCUUACCAUGGUUUCAACGGGUAACGGGGAAUUAGGGUUCGAUUCCGGAGAGGGAGCCUGAGAAACGGCUACCACAUCCAAGGAAGGCAGCAGGCGCGCAAAUUACCCAAUCCCGACACGGGGAGGUAGUGACAAUAAAUACUGAUACAGGGCUCUUUUGGGUCUUGUAAUUGGAAUGAGUACAAUUUAAACCUCUUAACGAGGAACAAUUGGAGGGCAAGUCUGGUGCCAGCAGCCGCGGUAAUUCCAGCUCCAAUAGCGUAUAUUAAAGUUGUUGCAGUUAAAAAGCUCGUAGUUGAAACUUGGGCCUGGCUGGCGGGUCCGCCUCACCGCGUGCACUCGUCCGGCCGGGCCUUCCUUCUGAAGAACCUCAUGCCCUUCACUGGGCGUGCUGGGGAAUCAGGACUUUUACUUUGAAAAAAUUAGAGUGUUCAAAGCAGGCCUUUGCUCGAAUACGUUAGCAUGGAAUAAUAAAAUAGGGCGUGCGUUUCUAUUUUGUUGGUUUCUAGAGACGCCGCAAUGAUUAACAGGAACAGUCGGGGGCAUCAGUAUUCAGUUGUCAGAGGUGAAAUUCUUGGAUUUACUGAAGACUAACUACUGCGAAAGCAUUUGCCAAGGAUGUUUUCAUUAAUCAGUGAACGAAAGUUAGGGGAUCGAAGACGAUCAGAUACCGUCGUAGUCUUAACCGUAAACUAUGCCGACUAGGGAUCGGGCGAUGUUCUUUUUCUGACUCGCUCGGCACCUUACGAGAAAUCAAAGU
RNAcentral lists this ribosomal RNA (1020 nucleotides) under Alternaria panax. RNAcentral's name for it is "SSU rRNA". It matches the Rfam family "Eukaryotic small subunit ribosomal RNA", at positions 75 to 1104 of the family's 1831-position model. The record is from RNAcentral. RNAcentral also lists the same sequence under 5 other names. Lineage: Eukaryota; Fungi; Ascomycota; Dothideomycetes; Pleosporales; Pleosporaceae.